Molecule: long non-coding RNA, 1311 nt
Filed under: Dicentrarchus labrax (European seabass)
Lineage: Eukaryota; Metazoa; Chordata; Actinopteri; Moronidae
Description: lncRNA (ENSDLAG00005035036.1)
Source: RNAcentral
AUGGCUCCAUUUGUGCUCCUGUUGUUCCUCCUGUCUCAAGCUGCUGCUGAACAACAUGUGAUAUCAGUGAAACCUGGAGAUGAUGUCAUUCUGUCAUGUUCAGCUGGUGAUGACUCCAUCAGAGCUGUAGAGUGGACCAGAACUGACCUGGAGUCUCCAGAGUACGUCCUCUUUUACAGAGACGGACGCUCAGAUCCAACCUACCAACAUCCAUCCUUUAAGGGUCGGGUGGAUCUGACAGACAGAGAGAUGAAGGAUGGAGACGUGUCUUUAGUUCUAAAGAACGUGAUCAUCAGUGACAGAGGAACAUACGAGUGUCGAGUUGCUACAGGUGGUCCAAGCCGUCGUAAGAGAGCCAACAUUGACACUGACCCAAUCAGAACCAUCCAACUGGAGGUCACAGACUCAGGUUCCAACAGCAAAAACACCAUGGAUGGAGACUACAAAGACACAACCAACAUGGAUGGAGACUACAAAGACACAACCAACAUGAAUGGAGACUACAAAGACACAACCAACAUGGAUGGAGACUACAAAGACACAACCAACAUGGAUGGAGACUACAGUAGGUGAUCAGCUCCUCUGAGCUGCCACAGACCUCUUGACACCUGAACACAUGUAUGGUGACUCAGCAUUAUUUUUGUUCUCUCUGUGAGUGUGAGGCUAUGUGUAACUGUUGCUGUAUGGUUCCGUACGGUUCACUGCGUACUAAUACUAACUUUGUUCCAACAAAUAAAUAAGAGUAAUACAAAUAUGAGGAUUUGGGUGAUUUUAUUGUGUCCUUCCCAUCUUUCUACUUCCAUCAAUGAGGAAAAGGUGAAGACAGCUGAUGGGUAUGAUUUCACACAGCAUUUGGUCCCACAGACGAAGGCAGCAGAGGGGGGGUGUCAGGUUGAGGCCCAGGAGCCCACCCAUCUGACUCUGAGGCACCUUCCAGGGAAGAAUGUAAGGUUAGAUCCAGCUACACUAUUUACAGCAGAGCUUCCAGGCAACAGCACACAGGUAACAGACAGCAGUGCAGGCCUUCUCCUCAGAGAGCUUAUCUACUGUCGCUUGUCUACUGACUUAUCUCUCUGUAUAUCUGAUAUAGAAGAGACUCAUCAACCACACUUAGAGCAGAUGGGAAUAUAAUCACACUUCCCUCAGGAGCACAAACAUCUGCACUCCAAAAUAAAAUGUUUUAGUGUGACAAAUGUCCAAUAAUGGAAUCAGAAUAAUGAUUAUUGUCCAUUAAUAUAACAAACAGAACUGUGAGAGUGUGUUUUAAUACAUUGUCAUGAAUGUACAGCGUGUGCAGGCAGAGCGGGCAGG